UGCUUCCCAUAGACCUGAGUCUAGCCUUCC
This 30-nucleotide non-coding RNA is filed under the name Mus musculus (house mouse). The record is from RNAcentral. Lineage: Eukaryota; Metazoa; Chordata; Mammalia; Rodentia; Muridae.